CUACGUGCCAGCAGCCGCGGUAAUACGGAAGGUCCAGGCGUUAUCCGGAUUUAUUGGGUUUAAAGGGAGCGUAGGCCGCCUCUUAAGCGUGUUGUGAAAUGCGGGUGCUCAACAUCCGACUUGCAGCGCGAACUGGGGGGCUUGAGUGCGCCGAAAGUAGGCGGAAUUCGUGGUGUAGCGGUGAAAUGCUUAGAUAUCACGAAGAACUCCGAUUGCGAAGGCAGCUUACUGUAGCGCAACUGACGCUGAUGCUCGAAAGCGUGGGUAUCGAACAGGAUUAGAUACCCUGGUAGUCCACGCGGUAAACGAUGGAUGCUCGUUGUUGGCCCUUAUGGUCAGUGACCAAGCGAAAGCGUUAAGCAUCCCACCUGGGGAGUACGCCGGCAACGGUGAAACUCAAAGGAAUUGACGGGGGCCCGCACAAGCGGAGGAACAUGUGGUUUAAUUCGAUGAUACGCGAGGAACCUUACCCGGGCU
This 477-nucleotide ribosomal RNA is filed under the name uncultured bacterium. Its description in RNAcentral is "bacterial SSU rRNA". It matches the Rfam family "Bacterial small subunit ribosomal RNA", at positions 501 to 981 of the family's 1533-position model. The record is from RNAcentral.